RNAcentral lists this unclassified non-coding RNA (329 nucleotides) under soil metagenome. RNAcentral's name for it is "partial contains 5.8S ribosomal RNA, internal transcribed spacer 2, and large subunit ribosomal RNA". The stretch from base 1 to 120 matches the Rfam family "5.8S ribosomal RNA", at positions 35 to 154 of the family's 154-position model. The record is from RNAcentral.
GAUGAAGAACGCAGCGAAAUGCGAUAAGUAAAGUGAAUUGCAGAAUUCAGUGAAUCAUCGAAUCUUUGAACGCACAUUGCGCCCCUUGGUAUUCCGAGGGGCAUGCCUGUUCGAGCGUCAUUAUAACCCCUCAAGCUCAGCUUGGUGUUGGGGCCUGCUGCACUGGCAGCCCUUAAAAUCAGUGGCGGCGCCAUCUGGCUCUAAGCGUAGUAAUUCUUCUCGCUAUGGAGUCCUGGUGGAUGCUUGCCAUCAACCCCCAAUUUUUCUAUGGUUGACCUCGGAUCAGGUAGGGAUACCCGCUGAACUUAAGCAUAUCAAUAAGCGGAGGA